Molecule: long non-coding RNA, 646 nt
Filed under: Homo sapiens (human)
Lineage: Eukaryota; Metazoa; Chordata; Mammalia; Primates; Hominidae
Description: HSALNT0386081
Source: RNAcentral
AUUGGCCCCAUCUGCAGGUCCUCUUUGACACCUACCUUACUCUCUCCCUCCACUCACACUCUGAGAACUGUGCUCAGGGGCAGCGCUACAACUUCCACAUUGGUCUUUACAGGGCUUGAGUGAUUAUUUCAAGAACAGAACGCUGUGUGGAAACCUUUACCAUAUUUCGUUGUAUCUAAGACACAUUUUUUUUUUUUGAAAUUUAACAUCUCUAAGGUUGGGUUAUGUUUCUUCAUCAUUGUCAGGUUGGAGCUUAAUCAGCAGCACUUUUUUUUAAUGUCACACACAGUAAUGGUGAUGCAUCUCACAAUUGAGAUCAUCUUAGACAUGAUGGAAUAUGGAAUCGUGUGCCUGUUACAAGCCAGGCUCUUGUCUGGGUUCUAGAGACGGUGGAAACCAAGACAGCACCAUCCUCUAGUGGUGUUCACAUCCCACCACAGUGGAGUCAGGACUUUGAAGUCCUCCAUUGGAUCUUCUCGGAAGAUGAGGGAAAUGAGAGAGUGUGGAGAGAGAUUUUGUAAGUCCGGUCUGGAAGUGGUCAUUGUUCAGAAUCCAGCCACGUGGGUACAUGGAACUGUAAGACACCAAAGCCAUGACUUCAAGAAGUGACAUUUUCCACUUGAGUCUCUGCAGCAGUAGCAGGCAA